ACUGCUCAGUAACACGUGGAUAACCUGCCCUAAGGAAGGGGAUAACCCCGGGAAACUGGGGAUAAUACCCUAUAGGUUACAGAUGCUGGAAUGCUCUGUAACCCAAAGCUCCGGCGCCUUAGGAUGGAUCUGCGGCCGAUUAGGUUGUUGUCGGGGUAACGGCCCAACAAGCCAGUAAUCGGUACGGGUUGUGGGAGCAAGAGCCCGGAGUUGGAUUCUGAGACACGAAUCCAGGCCCUACGGGGCGCAGCAGGCGCGAAAACUUUACAAUGCGGGCAACCGUGAUAAGGGAACCUCGAGUGCCUGUAUAUGCAGGCUGUCCAGGUGUCUAAAAAACACCUGAAGAAAGGGCCGGGCAAGACCGGUGCCAGCCGCCGCGGUAAUACCGGCGGCUCGAGUGGUGGCCACUUUUAUUGGGCUUAAAGCGUUCGUAGCUGGGUUGCUAAGUCUCUUGGGAAAUCCGACGGCUCAACCGUCGGGCGUCUAAGGGAUACUGGUAAUCUUGGAACCGGGAGAGGUGAGGGGUACUUCGGGGGUAGGAGUGAAAUCCUGUAAUCCUCGAGGGACCACCUGUGGCGAAGGCGCCUCACCAGAACGGCUUCGACAGUGAGGGACGAAAGCUGGGGGAGCAAACCGGAUUAGAUACCCGGGUAGUCCCAGCCGUAAACGAUGCGCGUUAGGUGUAUCGACGACCACGAGUCGUCGAGGUGCCGAAGGGAAACCGUGAAACGUGCCGCCUGGGAAGUACGGUCGCAAGGCUGAAACUUAAAGGAAUUGGCGGGGGAGCAC
Molecule: ribosomal RNA, 789 nt
Filed under: Methanoculleus sp. enrichment culture clone A2290
Lineage: Archaea; Methanobacteriati; Methanobacteriota; Methanomicrobia; Methanomicrobiales; Methanomicrobiaceae
Description: bacterial SSU rRNA
Rfam family: Archaeal small subunit ribosomal RNA
Source: RNAcentral